Papilio xuthus (Asian swallowtail) is the source of this 312-nucleotide long non-coding RNA. RefSeq lists it as uncharacterized. NCBI's taxonomy places the organism in Eukaryota, Metazoa, Arthropoda, Insecta, Lepidoptera, Papilionidae. The transcript has 3 exons. The record is from RefSeq and is a predicted model, not a curated record.
CUUGGACCUACAAUUCGUAACUCCUGUCAUAAAGAUACCAAAAUCCUUGCUCUUGAUGACCAUAGAUUUACGAUUGCCACUGAUUUUUAUGACAUAAUCAGAGACCAUCCUAAAGUGUUGGACUACAUUGAUGGAUUAGCUCUCCAUUGGUACUAUGACAAGGACGUACCGGUUCAGACUCUCCAGAAAUUUCAGCAGAACUAUCCAAACUUAUUUACAUUAUCCACUGAAGCAUGUGAAGGAUACCAGUCGUAUGCAAAGAAGAAAGUAGAUCUAGGAUCGUGGCAGAGAGCUGAAAAUUAUAUUAAAGAU